This 275-nucleotide ribosomal RNA is filed under the name uncultured prokaryote. RNAcentral describes it as "partial 16S ribosomal RNA". It matches the Rfam family "Bacterial small subunit ribosomal RNA", at positions 524 to 800 of the family's 1533-position model. The record is from RNAcentral.
UACGUAGGGGCGAGCGUUGUCCGGAUUUACUGGGCGUAAAGGGUGAGUAGGCGGUUAUAUAUGUCAGGUGUAAAAGGCUAUGGCUUAACCAUGGUUAGCACUUGAAACUGUGUGACUUGAGUGCAGGAGAGGUAAGUGGAAUUCCUAGUGUAGCGGUGAAAUGCGUAGAUAUUAGGAGGAACACCAGUGGCGAAGGCGACUUACUGGACUGUAACUGACGCUGAGUCACGAAAGCGUGGGUAGCAAACAGGAUUAGAUACCCGGGUAGUCCCUGA